CGAUUACUGCUCAGUAACACGUAGCUAACCUACCCUUAGGACGUGGAUACCCCCGAGAAAUUGGGGUUAAUCCGCGAUAGAUGUAAUGUCCUGGAAUGGUAUUACGUCUAAAGGUAUUUCAUACAUGUUUGAAAUAUGCCUAAGGAUGGGGCUGCGGCCGAUCAGGCUGUUGGUGAGGUAAUGGCUCACCAAACCUUUGACCGGUACGGGCCAUGAGAGUGGUAGCCCGGAGAUGGACACUGAGACAAGGGUCCAGGCCCUAAGGGGCGCAGCAACCGCGAAACCUCCACAAUGCACUCACGUGCGAUGGGGCUAUCUCGAGUGCCACCUGAUGAAGGUGGCUUUUCCUUGGUCUUCAAAGCCUUGGGAAUAAGAGGGGGGCAAGACUGGUGUCAGCCGCCGCGGUAACACCAGCCCCUCGAGUGGUGGGGAUGAUUAUUUGGCCUAAAGCGUCCGUAGCCGGCCGAGCAAGUCUUCCGUUAAAUCCAGCGUCUCAAGCGUUGGACCGCGGGAGAUACUACACGGCUAGAGAGUGGGAGAGGUUAGCGGUAUUCUGGGGGUAAGGGCGAAAUCCUUUGAUCCCCGGAGGACCACCAGUGGCGAAGGCUG
This 609-nucleotide ribosomal RNA is filed under the name uncultured crenarchaeote. RNAcentral's name for it is "bacterial SSU rRNA". It matches the Rfam family "Archaeal small subunit ribosomal RNA", at positions 80 to 675 of the family's 1478-position model. Lineage: Archaea; Thermoproteati; Thermoproteota. The record is from RNAcentral.